This 240-nucleotide unclassified non-coding RNA is filed under the name soil metagenome. RNAcentral's name for it is "partial contains 5.8S ribosomal RNA, internal transcribed spacer 2, and large subunit ribosomal RNA". The record is from RNAcentral.
AACUGAUACUACCUGCGGGAACCUGCGGAAGGAUCACUACUGAAGUGAUUUGGGGAUGUUGCUGGCCCUCUCUCAAGGGGGGGCACUGUGCACUCCUCGAAACAAUUCACAAUUUCCAUCACACCCCUUGUGCACACCUUGUAGGCACCCAAACCCACCUCCGGGUGGUGGGGUCCUAUGUAUUCCUUCAUCUCACACUCUGUUGAAUGGUGCCAUGGGACGCAUCUAAAGGAUUAUUUG